RNAcentral lists this ribosomal RNA (400 nucleotides) under Micromonospora fiedleri. RNAcentral's name for it is "bacterial SSU rRNA". It matches the Rfam family "Bacterial small subunit ribosomal RNA", at positions 696 to 1096 of the family's 1533-position model. Lineage: Bacteria; Bacillati; Actinomycetota; Actinomycetes; Micromonosporales; Micromonosporaceae. The record is from RNAcentral.
AUCAGGAGGAACACCGGUGGCGAAGGCGGGUCUCUGGGCCGAUACUGACGCUGAGGAGCGAAAGCGUGGGGAGCGAACAGGAUUAGAUACCCUGGUAGUCCACGCUGUAAACGUUGGGCGCUAGGUGUGGGGGGCCUCUCCGGUUCUCUGUGCCGCAGCUAACGCAUUAAGCGCCCCGCCUGGGGAGUACGGCCGCAAGGCUAAAACUCAAAGGAAUUGACGGGGGCCCGCACAAGCGGCGGAGCAUGCGGAUUAAUUCGAUGCAACGCGAAGAACCUUACCUGGGUUUGACAUCGCCCGUUUACCUGCAGAGAUGUGGGGUCCUUCGGGGCGGGUGACAGGUGGUGCAUGGCUGUCGUCGUGAGAUGUUCCGCAACGAGGGGUUAAGUCCGCAACCCUC